UACGUAGGGGGCAAGCGUUGUCCGGAAUCAUUGGGCGUAAAGAGCGUGUAGGCGGCUCGGUAAGUCCGCUGUGAAAGUCCAGGGCUCAACCCUGGAAUGCCGGUGGAAACUGUCGAGCUAGAGUCCGGAAGAGGCGAGUGGAAUUCCUGGUGUAGCGGUGAAAUGCGCAGAUAUCAGGAGGAACACCAAUGGCGAAGGCAGCUCGCUGGGACGGUAUUGACGCUGAGACGCGAAAGCGUGGGGAGCAAACAGG
This 253-nucleotide ribosomal RNA is filed under the name uncultured bacterium. RNAcentral's name for it is "partial 16S ribosomal RNA". It matches the Rfam family "Bacterial small subunit ribosomal RNA", at positions 524 to 776 of the family's 1533-position model. The record is from RNAcentral.